RNAcentral lists this ribosomal RNA (759 nucleotides) under Beauveria staphylinidicola. Its description in RNAcentral is "LSU rRNA". It matches the Rfam family "Eukaryotic large subunit ribosomal RNA", at positions 116 to 906 of the family's 3401-position model. The record is from RNAcentral. Lineage: Eukaryota; Fungi; Ascomycota; Sordariomycetes; Hypocreales; Cordycipitaceae.
UGAAAUCUGGCUCUCAGGGCCCGAGUUGUAAUUUGUAGAGGAUGCUUUUGGCGAGGUGCCUUCCGAGUUCCCUGGAACGGGACGCCACAGAGGGUGAGAGCCCCGUAUGGUCGGACACCGAGCCUCUGUAAAGCUCCUUCGACGAGUCGAGUAGUUUGGGAAUGCUGCUCAAAAUGGGAGGUAUAUGUCUUCUAAAGCUAAAUAUUGGCCAGAGACCGAUAGCGCACAAGUAGAGUGAUCGAAAGAUGAAAAGCACUUUGAAAAGAGGGUUAAAAAGUACGUGAAAUUGUUGAAAGGGAAGCGCCUAUGACCAGACUUGCGCCCGGUGAAUCACCCAGCGUUCUCGCUGGUGCACUUUGCCGGGCACAGGCCAGCAUCAGUUCAGCGCGGGGGAGAAAGGCUUCGGGAAUGUGGCUCCCUCGGGAGUGUUAUAGCCCGCUGCGUAAUGCCCUGCGCCGGACUGAGGUACGCGCAUUGCAAGGAUGCUGGCGUAAUGGUCAUCAGCGACCCGUCUUGAAACACGGACCAAGGAGUCGUCUUCGUAUGCGAGUGUUCGGGUGUCAAACCCCUACGCGUAAUGAAAGUGAACGCAGGUGAGAGCUUCGGCGCAUCACCGACCGAUCCUGAUGUUCUCGGAUGGAUUUGAGUAAGAGCAUACGGGGCCGGACCCGAAAGAAGGUGAACUAUGCCUGUAUAGGGUGAAGCCAGAGGAAACUCUGGUGGAGGCUCGCAGCGGUUCUGACGUGCGAAUCGAUCGUC